Molecule: transfer RNA, 64 nt
Filed under: Conostigmus sp. MM-2013
Lineage: Eukaryota; Metazoa; Arthropoda; Insecta; Hymenoptera; Megaspilidae
Description: tRNA-Gly
Source: RNAcentral
AUUUAUAUAAUAUAAAUAAGUAUAAUUAAUUUCCAAUUAAAAUGUCAUAAAUUAUGUAUAAAUA